CGACGUCGAUAUAGAAAAAUAUAAAAAACGAAAAAAGAGAUGAGAUCCUGUGCAAAUAUACUACGCCUUCGUAUAGCCAAUACAGAAUUUUUUACUUCUGAAGCCCAGCGAUCUCUGUCUCUGACACCGCCAUUGAUGCACUAGUUUAGUAAUUGUUAGGGCGUUUUAUUCCUCUAAAAUUCGAAAGGGAAUGAAUGUGCUGAGAUGAGAUUGGGAAAGGCACCUUCUUCGAAGCACAAAACCACCAAAUUCCUUUUUGUAUGUGUCAGCAUUUUGGGAGCAUUUCUCAUUGUAGAUCUGCUCUGGGCUUCCUCUUCUUCUUCUUCUUCUUCAUCGGCUUAUCGAUCGAUCGCAUCCAAUUGGCCUCGGCAAGGUUCCCAAACUUUCGUCGUUCCUAAGGUUGGUCAUACGAACAAUCGCUCCAUGUCUCCACAAAUUGAGGUUACUUUUACCAACUGCAUCCAUCCUUGCUUGUUAGUUAGUUCUGAACCGAAUGCGUUUAGAUAAAUGAAAAGAAAUUGAGUAUUUAUGUUAUUUACUCAAUUCUAACAGUUGAUGUGUGUAUUAUAUNNN
Molecule: long non-coding RNA, 573 nt
Filed under: Olea europaea (common olive)
Lineage: Eukaryota; Viridiplantae; Streptophyta; Magnoliopsida; Lamiales; Oleaceae
Description: long non-coding RNA (OEUR_LNC014242)
Source: RNAcentral